Molecule: unclassified non-coding RNA, 231 nt
Filed under: plant metagenome
Description: partial contains small subunit ribosomal RNA, internal transcribed spacer 1, and 5.8S ribosomal RNA
Source: RNAcentral
GCUCCGUUGGUGAACCAGCGGAGGGAUCAUUACAGAGUUGCAAAACUCCCAAACCAUUGUGAACGUUACCUAUCCCGUUGCUUCGGCGGGCGGCCCGGGCCCCGCGCCCGGCGCCCCCCGGCCCCCCGUGGGCGCCCGCCGGAGGUAAACCAAACCCUUGAAUUGCAUGGCCUCUCUGAGUCUUCUGCACUGAAUAAGUCAAAACUUUCAACAACGGAUCUCUUGGUUCUG